ACCCCACACAUCAAUUAUCUCACUUUCUUCUUUCACUUUCUCUACUUCCCCUGUUCCACGUUUUUUUUUUCUUUCUUUCUUUUUCUUUUUCUCUAUCUUUCCAUUUCACCUCUUCUUCUCAACAAAUAUCAACCAUACACUCAAAAGGAAGACACUACAUCUCUAUUAUAAGCUUUCUCAUGCUUCCACAAAUAUUAUUGGGUAUAAUUUUGGGGUUAGGGUUAAUGCUUUAAGGAAGGAGAUGAAUACCCACUCUUGAAAAAUUGUUCAUUGAGACUCUUUGAGCUUCACAUGCUUGGCAGGAGUGGUUGGAGUGAAAACUUAGUUGAUUCGUCAUAACAAUUCAAAGUCAGCUGAGUAGGGGGUUUCUAGCAGAUAUUGAGAGUCGUCGGUGUCAUUCUUUUGGCUUGCCGGACUAGUAUUAGUUUGUGCGCCGGUCACGAUUCGAGUUUGGUUCGUGACACAAUGGAUCCUUCAAAAUUUCUUUUUGAUAUCGAAGCUUACAAAAGACGGUCUGAAAUCGAAGAGAGGUAUAUCGUCAACCGGUUCAGGGAGCGACGAAACCAAAUAGAGGAAAGAUAUACACCUUGUGUCAAGAGAAAAUAUCAUGCAGCGGCAAACCAAGGAUCAAGUAAGUCUUCGGCCAGUGAAGAGUGGAAUGAACUCAAACAAUAUAUGGAGAAAGAGUUUGAACGAUUGGACAAAAUAAUCAUGAGGCAAGAGGAGACUAACCAGGCUAAGAAGAUGGAGAUGUUUAUGAAGUUAAGUUCAAAGGAGCAUCUCGAUGAUCGGUGCAAAGAGAUGUUGGAAAAGUUGGGUCGCGAUCUGUUUGGAAAUUAAAUGUUGUCAAGUCAUUGUUUGUAUUUUGUCGCGUUGUGUCUUAUUUACUAUUUAACUCCAUUUCAUUUAAAUUAUGUAUUGUCAAGUCGUUGUUUGUAUUUUGUCACUUUCUGCCUUAUCUAUUAUUUAACUACAUUGAAGUAUUUGUUUGGAGUCCGUCCAUUUCAACCACUUAAUCUGAUUUCUAUCAUUAUCUAUUAUUUAACCACAUUGCAUUAUAUGUUUCGAGUCCAUCCAUUUCACCAACUCAAUUUCUUAUUUAAAUGGGGGCUCAUUCUUCCAUUGUUGUACCAAUAAUAAAAAUCUCAUAUUACUAAAAAAAUAUCAAUGGAUCCUUCAGAAUUUCCUUUUGAUAUAGAAGCUUACAAAAGACAGUCUGAAAUCGAAGAGAGGUAUAUCGUCAACCGGUUCAGGGAGCGACGAAACCAAAUAAAGGAAGGAUAUACACCUCGUGUCAAUAGAAAAUAUCUCAAUAGAGAUCAUGCAGCAGCAAACCAAGGACUAACUAAGUGUUCGUCUCAAGAUGAAAAAAUAGACGCGAAUGGGAUCGCGGAUCUUAAGAAACCAUUAUUGCAGAUUCAAGAAUGCCGAAUCAAGAUUAAGGGAAUGACUUGCACAAGUUGUUCACAAUCUGUUGAGCAUGAUUUGCAAAUAGCUGAAGGAGUCAAAAAGGCAGUAUAGUUGGUUUAGCCUUAGAGGAAGCAAAAGAGUCAAAAAAGGCAGUAUUAGUUGGUUUAGCCUUAGAGGAAGCAAAAGUACUCUUUGAUCCUAAACUCAUUAAUACCAACAAAAUAAUUGAAGUUGUAGAAGAUUCCGGCUUUGAAGCAUAACUUGUUAGUUCAAGGAAUGAUAUGAACAGAGUGCAUUGGAUUUGGAACUAAUGCUGCUUGUUUUUACUCAGUAUAUGUUGUAAUUAAAACACUGACUUCAGCUAAAUUUCAAGGACAAGAUUUCUUUGAGACCAGUUCUAUGCUGAUAUCAUUUAUUCUAUUAGGAAAAUAUUUGGAGAUUAUGGUUCCAACAUCUAAA
Molecule: RNA transcript, 1869 nt
Organism: Trifolium pratense (red clover)
Lineage: Eukaryota; Viridiplantae; Streptophyta; Magnoliopsida; Fabales; Fabaceae
Gene name: copper-transporting ATPase HMA4-like
Exons: 6
Source: RefSeq, a predicted model, not a curated record